Molecule: ribosomal RNA, 22 nt
Filed under: uncultured Helotiales
Lineage: Eukaryota; Fungi; Ascomycota; Leotiomycetes; Helotiales
Description: partial 18S ribosomal RNA
Source: RNAcentral
GUGACCUGCGGAGGAAUCAUUA